This 253-nucleotide ribosomal RNA is filed under the name uncultured bacterium. RNAcentral describes it as "partial 16S ribosomal RNA". It matches the Rfam family "Bacterial small subunit ribosomal RNA", at positions 524 to 776 of the family's 1533-position model. The record is from RNAcentral.
UACGGGGGGGGCAAGCGUUGUUCGGAAUUACUGGGCGUAAAGGGCUCGUAGGCGGCCAACUAAGUCAGACGUGAAAUCCCCAGGCUCAACCUGGGAACUGCGUCUGAUACUGGAUGGCUUGAAUCCGGGAGAGGGAUGCAGAAUUCCAGGUGUAGCGGUGAAAUGCGUAGAUAUCGGGAGGAACACCAGUGGCGAAGGCGACUACCUGGCCUGUUCUUGACGCUGAGGCGCGAAAGCUAGGGGAGCAAACGGG